CCGAGUUUACAACUCCCAAACCCCUGUGAACAUACCUAUACUGUUGCCUCGGCGGAUCAGCCCGCUCCCCGGUAAAAAGGGACGGCCCGCCCGAGGACCCCUAAACUCUGUUUUUAUAUGUAACUUCUGAGUAAAACAACAUAAAUAAAUCA
This 152-nucleotide unclassified non-coding RNA is filed under the name soil metagenome. Its description in RNAcentral is "partial internal transcribed spacer 1". The record is from RNAcentral.